Molecule: non-coding RNA, 27 nt
Filed under: Mus musculus (house mouse)
Lineage: Eukaryota; Metazoa; Chordata; Mammalia; Rodentia; Muridae
Source: RNAcentral
UGGGCUAUCCGCAGACCGUUUGCUCUC